UUCACAGCUUUCCCUGGAGGUCAGAGGAAGCCCUGAUAACACACCAUGCAGAGGGUGAAGAUCCUGCCAGGGUUCGUGACCACGAUGUGGAUGCAGACCUUGCUGAGGAGGCUGCCGGGGCUGUUUUGAAGAUCUUGCUAAGGAGCAGAUGCGAUCUCACAUGAGUGAAAUCUUCUUGCAAGCAAAUAAGAGAGUUCUGUGAUCUGAAAGGAAGAAAGUCCAAAAGGCCUCGAGUGUGUGAUGUACCCUGGAUUCUAACUGCCAAACAGGUAUGGGCUGCAAAGCGCUGUUUCAGUAAUGAAGCAUCUUAGUUUAUUAAGAGUAGGCUAGAGGUGAUGUGAUAAUGGUCUGGAAGUGCCGACAUCCAGGGGAAGCUUCUGAGAGGCUCUUUAAUCUCUCAGACCAGAGCAUCCUGAGACUGGAGAGUUAGCCAUAAAAAAGGUUAAAGGUACAGCACGCAAUGUGUGUUUAAUUAUCCAGAGGAACCGUUCCCCAAGGGUGAUGUGUGCUGCUUUCAGAACUGCGGGUGGGAUCCUGCGCAGAGCCUUGGGAAGCAGCUCCCGCUGCCUGUACCCAGGGAGCACAUCUAUCUGGGAGCUCAUCUCAGUUCCCUGGCUUCCAGGUGCGACUGGUAUGUUGUAUAUUUGUCCCAGGGUUUUGGACAAUUGCUUUGUUUUCAGCUCACUGGUUGAUGUGUGGUUUACAACAGUUCUCAGGAAUUUAUGAUAGCCUGGGAAGAGCUGGUGAGUCAGGAGGCAGACAGUCAUUAAUUCCCAGUAAUGCCUUCGACAGAGUUCAUUACUGUUAUCAGAAGAUUAAAUGAUGUGAAAAGUAGAUUUAUUUAUUUUUCCCAGGCUGAUGCAGUUUGCUUUUGGAAGACACUGUGCUCUGGGGAAAAGCAGUGCCAGUGCAUUGGCAACCGAGGAGCCCGAAUCCUCUUGCAGCAGUUUAUUCAAUGCAGAACCGUUUGCUGUGUGUUUGAAGGAAGAGGUUGUAUCAAGGUCACUCCACCGGAUUCAGCUUUGCAGUCUCUGUGAAAGGAGAGCUCUCACUGUCCUCAUAGAUCUUUUUUUACUCCCCUCCAUACGUAAAAGGCAGGUCUCGCAAUAAUAAAAGGUUUGUAGAAUGGCACUCUUACAAAGUGUCCUGCUAUAAAGAACUGCUCUGAAUCAGAAACUGCAUCUGUUCCAGAAACCAUCUCUGUCUUUCUCACACCCUCCCUCUGGGUUCAGUCCUUGCCUCCGCUUCGUUGCCAGGAUGGCAGUUUGAUGGUUGCAGAGACGAUUCAGGGCUGUUCUUCCCAUACCAGACCUUGCAGGGUGCCAAGGAGGAAACGGAGAGGUACCCAUUUGAAAAGCAUUUAGCAGAUUAGAAUAAAAUUAAUCUGGCAGUUGCCAUAAAACCUUCAGGAGCUAUCCUCACAGAGCAUUUUCCUUCUCUUUUUUAAUGCUGCAUGGAGGAUGCACUGGACGGUGAGACCAGCAGCAUUUUCCACUGUCCUCCCAGCCAUGCAGGAGUAGCAACACUAUUUAAUUCCUCUGCUCCCUGUGCUGUCACACUGUGCUCAGGAAGUCAAUCUUGGUUUGAAUUUCAUUCCUUUCUAGCAACGUAAUGCAGGUGGGGUGUGUUAUGGUCAUCCUCCUGUUCCUAGAUUGUGCUCUGUUGGUGCUACAGGGAGGGAAGCAGCUGUGGACAGACUGAGCCCUGGGAGCACAGUCCCCACCUCAUGCUAGGAAGGGCAUUGAGAUUGUGCUUAUCCUGACAGGAGAUGUGGAUUAAUUCAUCAAUUCAAUGUCAGCACUGAAGGAGAGACAAAAGCCCCCAUCCAGGCUGGAGGCUGAGCAGAUAGAGACACUGAUCGCUGGAAAGUUUUACGAGGAUAAUAAAAAAACAUCAUAAUAAAUGGCCAUGAAUAUUUCAUGGUGGGUGUAGUGCUUAUAUGAUGUAUCAUAGAGAAGUGAUGGGUUUUUUCAACAUUCGGAUGCAAAUGGGGAACGUGUUCUAUAUUUUGCAGGUUUCUCCCCAGACACGCUAUGUUUUCUAAAAAUCAGAUUGACUGGGAGUUUUUGAUAUGAGAAACAACUUCAUGCUCUGGUUAGAAUAAUAAUAAAAAAAAGCACAGACAGUAUCAGAGGGUUGUUGGUGCCAAAGAUGAAAAAAUCCCACGCAGAUCAAGUAGCUCAUCUCCCUAAAUGUCGGGCGAAGCUAGUUAAGAUUUACCAAAGGGAAAUCAAGUGCUUUGCUGUCCUUGGAGCUGGAUCUGAUUUCUCUACUCGAUAACAGCCGCACUUCUGCGCUGCGGACUCCAAAAUGUCAGGUGGCUGUGACACGAUGCAGCCACUGGUAACUGGAGAGGAGGUGAAAGCAGGGGACCAAAUCCUUCUUCCUCACUGCUCGGUGGUAGAUGUUGGAGCUUGCUUGGGAUCAGCCUGGGGCAGAAAGCAGAAGAAUCCCUUGUCUGGAGGGGACCAGAGUUUUUGGGUUGUUGAGUUUCACCCAAACUUGCACACUGAGUUUGCUUUGGUGGAGCCCUUUGUUCAAAGGCAUCGGCUGGCAUGAUGCCUUCAUCUAACCAGGUUCCCCAGUACAGACCUGCUCUGCCCCAGAGCAGCACAAACACCAGUGCACUAACACUGACCACUCCUCUUCACAAGCAACUUUCACAUACUUGUCCUGUCUUCCUUUCUUUUAAUUAAUUCUAUCAGAUCCCCAGACACCUACCAAAAUGCAAUCCACGUUGCGUAUUUGCAAGUUUGGGUGUUGCAGGAGCGGUUUCUAACAAGACACCUGCCUGCUGUCCCUCCUGUCCCUGCACUGUCUUGCUUGGCGCAGGUGGCAAAGCCUGGGUUUGAAACAAGAGAUGGGCCAAGAGGGGACCUUUGUGGGCACCUGUCUGGGCAGAGGAACAGGUAUGAAGUGGAAUAAGCUGCAGGAGACAACCUGCAAGUCCAUGCUCUGCUUCAUCAGCUGCAGGAUGCGCUUGGCUGUUUUCACCCAUUGCUGCUUCUCUGCUUCUGUUUUCCCAUCUCUAUGGCAGGGUGAGUAGCACUCAGACCCCCCUGAGUGAAGCAUCGGUGUGGAGGAACUGCAGAUAUGUGCCUGGUAACAGUAAGAUACAAAAAAUUACCAGCUAAUUACUUCCAAAGCCUGACUUUCCACCCAGCAUGGGCUGGGGGGUAUCCCUCCUGCCUCCUCUUUCUGUGGGGAACCGCUCCAUCCUUCUGGGGACAUCCAUACAGAUAUCCCACCAGGGACUGGUUAUUUCUCUUCUCUUCUCUUCUUCUCUCCUCUUCUCCUCUGCUUUGCAAGUUGUCAGUGAGCUGUACGUGAUUCCUUUGGAUUUCUCACUUUUUCCUUGUUAUGCUGCUGAUCUGGUGGCACCAGUGACGCUGGGUGCUUGUACCCAAAAUGGUUGUUCUAUGUUUUUGCCCUCCACAUUGUAUUGGUGGCCUUCAGUGGCCCAGGGCAUCCAUACUUAUUGUCUUUCUAGGGACUUGUUCCAGCUUCCCAGCCACCAUGGCCAACAUCUUCUCCUCCCCAUUUUAAUUUCACUCCAAACUACCCGGGUCGGGACACAGCACCUGCACACAGGUGUGGAUGCUGCUCACAGGAGCACUUCUGCAGAGCACCAUUUUCACCAGCAUGUCAAUGAAUAAGAAAGUCACCUCCAUUUGCAGAGCAAACUUUGGUGAUAUGUUCAGCCAGAUGGCUCCUCGGUGGAGUUGGGCCCAUCAAACUGCAAGUGCCUUUCCAGAAAAGAGGGGAAAAAAAGAAAAAAAAGAGAAAAAAGAAGAGAAAAACGAUGCAAAAGUGCACUUGCUUUUAAAGUCUGUACCAAAUGAGGCUGCGAGCUAAUUUUUCCCAAACUGGGUGUUGUCAGCUGAUGAAAACUCUUCCACAGAGGUGCUAAGCUCACUUGCUGGAUCAGAAGUAUUUCUUGGAGAGUGCUGAUGAGAUUAUGCCUUGAUCAGCCAAAACAGGCCUGAUUUGAAUGUGCUUUACUACGAAGCAGUCAUUACAUUUCUCUCUAGGAUUCAAACAAACAUUUCCUCCAUAUUUCAGUGGUGCUGAACUGGCUUUGCAAAGACCCCUCCAGGCUUUUGCUUAGGAACUGGUGAAAUUAUUCUGCCUAAUGCCUCCAGAAGUUAAGUUACCCAAGCAGAAACUGUGCCACGGAGGUCCCAGGAGCUGCGUGAAGCAAACGGCACGUUGGUUUCUAUGCCAGUCUCAAGGUAGCAGCUGAAGCAUAAGCUGGGGAUGGGAAAGCGCUUAAUGUGUUCACACUCUUUGUUGUUUUGUACUCCUUUUGUCCAAUAAUUUGUCACUGUUCCUCCUGGAAAACGUGUGGAUGAGAGAAGCGGCGUAUGUCCAUUUUUCCCAUCUGCUCUGCUAACACUGCAGGACCCCGUAGCAGAAGAGCCUCAGGCUUCUUGCUCGCUACAGACAGCAGCGAGUCAGCAGUGCAGCCAGGUAGGAUGAAUUCCAGUUAGAUGUUCUGUGCAGUGUUUCUUCCAUGUGGAAACUGGUGGGAUUAAAUCCACAGGUACUGACCACACAAAUGCCUGUCAGCUGGACUUCCCACUGCAGGAGGAUGCUCUCUGUGCGGUGAGCAUCUGCUCAGGUUUCCUUUGUCAACGUUGAGUUUAGCUUCCAUAACGUAUAGCCAUAAAGACAGCCUGUAUCGGGUUCAAAAUAGCUAGCAGAGCUCCAGGUAAUAUUUUCUACAAAAUCUGAAUCAACUCAGACAAAAGAUUUCUUAAUUAAAUUCCCUGAAGUACAGAGCUAUAGUUAGGGGCUCAUGGGGUUACUCACACGUUCUGGUUUGUCACUUGGAAAGACAUUAGGGAAGAGAAAGAGAAAUGCUGGUGUCAUAGUUUAGCCCCAGCCACCCCCUGGCCAGCAACUAGAACAUAGUGGGAUGAGGAGGAGAAUCAGGAAAUGAAAGGCAGAAUUCAUUGGUUGGGAUAAGAAUAGUUUAAUGGAACCACAAAAAUGAAAAAAAAAAAAAGAUAGAAUAUACAAAGCAAGGGAUACACAGCGCAAUUUCUCACUGCGUGGAAAUCCCAGUGUGCAAGAUGCCCUUUCGGAGCAAACUGUUCUUCUAAGCAGUAAUGCUGAACUCCUGACUGCAACCUGUGCCCAAACCUCCCCAUCCGGACAGCAGCUCUACCCAAAGCACAAUAGUACCGAACUGCGUGGUCUAGAGAGAACUGAGAGCGUCACGGACUGACCUGCUCUCUGGCAGUGAGAUUAAAUAAAAAGCCUCCCUCCUGACCAGCCACACAGUUUAAAAACUGAACACAACCUUAUAUGAUAUUGAACAUUCUUUUGAGUGGGUUUGGGUCACCCCCUCCCCAGCCACCUGUGGAAAUUAACCCUAUCUCAGCUGACCCAGCACAGCUGGUAACCAACAUUUUGUAACCAGCUGCAAAGCACCAAAAGAGAAAUCACCACUGUAAAUAGCAGGGUCCAGCAUUACUGUCUCCCCUUCACCGGCCCUGUCUCUUUUGCUCCAGAGCAGGAGCCCAGCUUCGCACCCAAGCUGGAGCCUCCUGGCUCUGCAGAGGCUUUUUGGACCUGUUGAUUGCUCCAGGAGGUUAACUGUGAACUCAGGAUGUUACGAAUGUAGGUAGCUUCACACCUUGGAGCUUCUUGAUUUAAGGUGUCUGCCCUGGAAGGUCUUCGGUCCUGUGCUGUUUAAUGGAGCACUUCUGCUGGGGUGCAGAGGAGAGCUCUGAGGAGCCUGCAGUGAUUUACUCCCUCCCCAUGGGGGCUCAGAGAGUGAAAUCUGCCCCACGCAGGUUGGGUAGGAGGUGCAGAAGAGGCCAUUACGGAUGAAGAAAGUGGGGCAGUUUGCAGGGGGUGCUUUGCUUCUCCCUGGCGGGGUGUGGGUGCCACAAUUUCCCUUGGUUGGGGGCUCUGCAGCCCCUCGGUUGGCACGGGGAUGUUGAUGGUGGGCUAUGUCAGUGCUCUUGGGAAGGUGGUGUGUAGUCUCACUGCUGAGGGCUUCUUUAUUUUUCAAACCACCAGUUACCUGUGUAGACUUGGCAAGUGCCAUCAUGCAUGUGAAAGGACAAAACAUGAUAAAGCAUCAUUAGAACAAGGUCUGGCUGAUUGGGAACUCCAUCACUAAAUGUAUGUACCUUCUCCCUGCAUUGGUUUACACAAAUAAGUCUGAGUCGUUGUAGACCUUUGAGAUUCACUCUCCUUACCUUUACAAGGACUAGCUGUAAAAGGAGACAUCUUUUUUACUUGUCCUGUGUUAAACACAAAUGAAGCGCUUCCCUUCUAAAAGCAUUUUAAGACAAAAUAAUUAACAAGCAGGAAAACAACCACCAGUUUGGAGUCUUGCGAAGCUGUUUUACGCUUCCCCCAGGACCCUUCCUCCCUCUCAUCCCAUUUCUCUUGCUUCCCUUGCAGUUUAUGGCCCUGAGCUGGUAAAUCACAUUCAGCCCCGUGCCUCGCUCUGCACGUAAAUAGUGGUGUGAUCCUGUCGAAUAAAUGUGUGUGAUGAAAGUGCCUUUAGCGAAGCGCGCUCCUGCUCUCCCAACCCCCCAGUGCGUCGCCCCCGGGCUUGUGAGCACUCGGCUCACACGUUUAUUAUUUAUCUUGGUGAGCUGUGCUCAAAUCCGAGAACCUGACUUCAUGGCCCUGAAUUAUUGCACCAAAUCUGUUCGUGAGGACCUGAGUUUCAGCAGUGGCUGAUAUGAAUAGGUCUGCCUGCAGCUAAAAAUAGAAAGCGCGGGGCAGGCUUCUUGGCAGAGCUAUAGUAACUUCUAAUAUAAGGUGGCUCUGCAGCAGUUCCCAUGGCAAAGCUUCCUCUGACGUGGUGGGGAAAGCUGUAGCGUGCACUCAAGCCAAUAUUAGACAAUAGAGAUUCCUUGUGGGAACUGACUUGUGAGGUGCAGGGGCCAAUGUUGAGUUUUGAAGUUUCCUUCUCACUCCUACGGGCAGCCCUGCCCUGGAGAAGCGACUCCUAGGAUUUGUAUUUCUCUGUGCUUUGUUUUCUCCUCUGCAAGGGAUUCUGGCUGCUGCAGUGGAUGUGUUUUAGCUGCAUGGUUUUUUUGCUUUCUCUGCAACAGGGGAGGCUGCAGCACGUGGGCAGAUUUGCAGACCCCAGCGAGCCUGGUCUGCCCCAUGGCUCUACCCCACACCUUUAUUCCUCCUCCUCCAUGGAAGUGUUUGCUCAUUCCCCUGCUCCCAAGCCCAGCAGGAAGAUGUGCUUUCUCAGCAUUCCUGGUUAUUCUGCUUUCUGCCCCAGGUAUUGCUCUAUGGUCUUGCUUGCAAUGGACUGUUUCCUUCCUUGCAAGGCCAGACAUGGCUGUUGUAACUCUGCAAAUCUCCUGCAUCACGGGAACUUGUUUCUCUGUUCAUUCGGGUUUAUCUGCUGUGAAAAUCUGUGCUCCCCCGGUGCCCCCCAAACUCACCGAGAGUAUUCAUGCCGCCGGUCAUGACAAUGGUUCAUCACAGCGAUGCUAAUGGCCACACAUGGCUCAUUGUUCCCUGCGCUGGAACAUAUGGUGUCCUGCCUUAACACUGCCCCAUGCAAACGCUUCUGCACGAGGAGCAGCUGUGAAAAGGUUCAGUGGAUCUCCCCAGUGUCAGCCAAGUGUAAUGUCUAGUGCUCUUCCUUAUGGAUAACUGCGUGGCAAGAUGAGGCAGCAGGACAGUAGGGAGAGCUCUGGGGAGCGUGGCUGUGGUCCAGCACAGCUCUCCUCCUUGCCCAGGGGCAAUGGUGCUAAGAUGCAGCUGCCUCUGGGGUGGGGGGCAGCAGCAGGACAGCAUGAGGACAGGAAUGAGGUAAGGCAAGGACAAGAUCUAGGCCACUACUGCUGGGCUCAGCUUCACGUUUGGACAGAAUCCAAGUGCUGUGGUCUUUUCAUCCUAGGCAGAAUGCUCUGCUCCUGUGUCAACCUGAGCAAGUCCUUGGUGCAGGACUUGGCUCCUCUGGAGGUGGAGGGAGCUGUCAGGUGGAAGAUUUCUUGGGGCUAUUGCACAGGUAACCAACAGGGCUGGGACCUUCACCUGCAAGAGUGCUUAGUCCUUGUAUUAGCAUGAAAAUAACUAAAAAGUAGUGCUGUGGAUGGAUUAAAGAGCAGACCCUGCUGCCCAGGGUGUGUGACUUUGGAGGGGAGGGAGGGCAAGUGUGUGCCUCUGGCUGGUUCAUCCUGACUCUUCCCCAGCUGGGGAGGGGGCUGCAAAAGCAGUAUGAACACUGAUGUCCCCCUGGGCACACCCUUGGCAUGGCGCUGGGUUCCCCUCGGCUUGCCGGUGCUGUGAGAGGGUAGAACAAGUCUGAGGCUGUCCUGGUCUCUCUGAGCCUCAUCCUGCCACCUCCCUGGAGAGGAAGCAAGAAAACAGGUUGGGUAACCUUUAUCUCUAUGCAGAGCUCAGCAGAAAGAAACAAUCCAGCUUUUGGGUAAGUGGGUUGCAUUAGACAGGCUGCUACGAUUUUCUUGUCCUGCCUUCUCCCCCGUCAAGUAAUUUUUGGCUGGCUGUGGCAAGGAAGUUGUCCCUGAGUCUUUUCAGGUGGAGAAGUUGCUAUAUAAGGGCUGAUUGUAGCUCUUGCAUCAGCCUGUAUGGAAGUGAGCAGCCCUGGAGGGUUUGUGGGUACCAGAGGCAUGGAGGGGGAGGAGAGGGCUGCCAGGGAGAGUGUGCAGAGUUUAGAGAUUAGAGGUGUGCUGUGGUUAAAGACAACCCUUUAUUUGUGAUGGGAGCCCUCUACACCUUUGCUCUCCUGUUCCCCUGCUUGCUCUCCUGUCCACAGAAAGCUUCUAGGAAGCCCCAGGACUGUUGCUUUCCCAGCACAAACAGAAGCCUUGCUGGGUAAGCACAAAAUCCUCCUGUAGGAAGUCUGUCACUUGGUGUUGUGUUCAUGGUCCAUCCCUUGAUGCUGCAUACAGACGAAAGGCAGGAUGGAGAUGUGCUUGUGGCUGUCCAGGAGCCCUGGUCACUCACAGAUCCAUCCCUGGAGUAGCUGCACUCCCCAAAGCCCCUGCCAUGGGGGUGGCUGAUGGGUAAGAGCAGAGCCCAGCCCUGGCUGAGGGGACCUGACCCCAUCACUGCCUAAAGGGUCUGACAGUGUCCAUAGGGCAUGUUUUGAUGCUGCUAGAGAUUGGGUAUGCUAUUGAAUGAGUCUUCCUCUUUUGCUGUGAUAUGGCUUUAGGUCUAGGGUGUGAUGGAUGCACUCCUGUUUGAACUAACUGAGCUUCGGUCCAGGUGGAAGCUCAGCAAGUAGGCCUGACCUAAUCCUAUUGUGCGAGGCUCUCAGUCAGAACUCAGCACCAAUUCCCCCCAAAAAAUCCAUUUGGCUGGAGACUGGGCUGAUAAGUAGCUGAAAUGGCAUUAACACAGCAGAAGAUCUGACUAAAGAUCAUCCACUUCACACUAUAAAUAUCUGCAGCCAUCAGCGUCCACUGAGCUCUCCCUCCACAGCAGCUGCUGCACAGCGGUGAUCUCCCCUCGAGCAGGGACCCUCGCAAGGUGACCCCUUGAGGCUGAGAGAUGCCUCAUCUGGCACCAGACACCACUGUGUUGCUUAGGUUGCUGAUGCCAUCUGUGAAAACACCAGGGCUGUAUGUUUCUGUGCCCACCUCAUUUGCAUGGGAAAAACGCUGAACUGAGAGACGCUGGUUCAUCCCUCUGCCCUGGCCAUGGACCUCCUGCUCAGGUCAGUAGGGAGCACUGCACAGUUUCUUUGCUACUGAAGAGGUUUACAGCGUUCCUGCCCCUUGCGCUGUGGUGCAUCAGAGGUCCUGAAUGAUAAAAAUCCUUCAGACUCUGUUGCUUCAGUGACUGCUGGUGUAUUGCUUCAGUGCUUCGUGAAGACUCGUUAGCCCACAGGAGAGGGUGGCAAGACCUCAUCUCUGGCCUCCCCAGCGCUCCGUGGGGUUUAGCAGCACACUAAGGCAGCACAAAGACUCUUGCACAGCUCCUUUGGUGGGGCUGAGGGUUUCAGCUAAUGACAACAUAAGGACGGGAGUACAUACACCAAGACAAGUCCUUGCUGGUCCUCUUCAUCCCUGUUUGUGUCCUGUGGGCAUGCGGAGCCUUGGUAUGGCUGGCGUUGAUGAGUCUGCACUGCAAGCCUGGUGCAUCGCAGUUUGAACAGCCACCCCUGUCCUGCAGAGCUGGUCCCCUGCAUGUGGGGAAAGCCGUGCAGCCACUUGCUUUCCCUUGGCUAUAAACCCCACUGACGUGCAGGGCUGUGGCAGCUGCCAGCCGUGGUUGGGUGCUGGCCACCGGUACCCUCAGCAGCAAGGAGGGAGCUGGUGCUACGUGGUGCCUCUCUCCUGUGGGCUCAGCAGGAACCUUGCACUUUAGAAUUAACUUCAUUUUUUCUUUUUCUUGCUGAUUUAUCUUUUGAGUUUUCUAGGCCAGCUGUCCUCCUUUAUUAUCCUCACGCUACCUAUUUAUCUCAUCUGCCCCCUCUUCUCCCCGCUUUCCUCCCUCUGGUUGCCUGUCCGUUGCUGAGCUCUUGCCCGCCGGCAAAAACAAGCCGCAGCGGCGGAGCAUGACAGACCCCGCUGAAGACACAUCGUGCCCGACAGCUCAGGCCGAGUCAGCAAAGCCGGUCCCUGCUCGAUGUCCCCCGGCAUCCAGCCCACACGUGGGAGGAAACUCCCGAGGUGCUCCACCACCGCCAGCACCUCCAACACGUCUCCCGUCCCGUCUGUGCUGCUUCUGCACUGUGAGGACAACCGAGGUGCAGAAAGCUGCAGUUGCAUUUCAAGUCAAUCUCAGCCAGGUCCCAGUGACAUCUACAAGGCAAGCUGUGGUCUCUGUGGCCUCCAAAUAAUCACUGAGAAUAGUGAUCCUGCCAGCUGACUCCUACUUUUGCCAGCUGCACAGCACCAGAGUUUGUGGAUGCAUCCAGAAAGAGUUUCCUGGCACUACAGCAAGGGAAAUGGCCUCUUCCUUCUGGAGCACAGCCCAGCUGGAGAUCAUCUGGGAGGAAAGCUUUUUUGGGCAGCAGAAGUCUUCACUGCCUGGCCCAUGUGCAAUAGCCUCCAGCAAAAAGGGGACAACUUUGGCUGUUCUUUGGCUCUCAAUAUCUACUCCUGCUCCUUCUGCUCAAGCAUCAGCAUCUUGGCCUCCAUCCCUGGGAUGUUUCCCUGCUUGGUUCUGAACUCAGAGAGCCUGGACAUCUGGCUGCCCUAAGAUGGUGAAAACCAACGUGCCCUACGUGCUCCAGUGCCCCAGCCUGAACAAACAGGCCUGUACACCACUACAGGCCUCUCCUGACUUGGGGUUUUCAAGAGUCACCAGGACAAAUUCUUUCCUUUAAGAGAAACCUGGACCAUCAGCAGGUGAAAGAUGCUUCUGCAAGAGAUUUUUCUUCUCACACAGUCUUGAGUUUUUUUACCUGAGCUGUUGACCUCUGUUGGACGCUAUCAGGGGCUGGCUGAAGCUCUCUGAUGGAAUGGCUGGCUGGUUCGUGAAGGACAUUUCCUGGACAGGAGCAAUAGAAGAUUUCCAUUAUGGCAAGGACCACA
This is a long non-coding RNA of Columba livia (rock pigeon), 11495 nucleotides long. RefSeq lists it as uncharacterized. The record is from RefSeq and is a predicted model, not a curated record. NCBI's taxonomy places the organism in Eukaryota, Metazoa, Chordata, Aves, Columbiformes, Columbidae. The transcript is spliced from 9 exons.